Molecule: unclassified non-coding RNA, 343 nt
Filed under: soil metagenome
Description: partial contains 5.8S ribosomal RNA, internal transcribed spacer 2, and large subunit ribosomal RNA
Rfam family: 5.8S ribosomal RNA (bases 1-120)
Source: RNAcentral
GAUGAAGAACGUAGCGAAAUGCGAUAAGUAAUGUGAAUUGCAGAAUUCAGUGAAUCAUCGAAUCUUUGAACGCACAUUGCGCCCGCCAGCAUUCUGGCGGGCAUGCCUGUUCGAGCGUCAUUUCAACCCUCGAGCCCCCCCGGGGGCCUCGGUGUUGGGGGACGGCACACCAGCCGCCCCCGAAAUGCAGUGGCGACCCCGCCGCAGCCUCCCCUGCGUAGUAGCACACACCUCGCACCGGAGCGCGGAGGCGGUCACGCCGUAAAACGCCCAACUUUCUUAGAGUUGACCUCGGAUCAGGUAGGAAAACCCGCUGAACUUAAGCAUAUCAAUAAGCGGAGGA